Long non-coding RNA from Ochotona curzoniae (black-lipped pika), 1544 nucleotides. RefSeq lists it as uncharacterized. The transcript has 4 exons. The record is from RefSeq and is a predicted model, not a curated record. NCBI's taxonomy places the organism in Eukaryota, Metazoa, Chordata, Mammalia, Lagomorpha, Ochotonidae.
UUUUUUUUCUUUCCCUACUCACAGCUUUGCAACAUACCCCCUUAUUUUUAAAGUACUUGCUUUGUCUAAAACUUGGUCUGUGGCAUGAUGGUCUUUUUCUGUCUGCUGCCUGCUUCCCCCCAACCCUUGAGCUUGGUGAUGCUGUUUUGGCCAUGUAGUAUAUUAUUUUAGGAUCUGAAUAAUUUCCUAAGGACUGUUUUGUGGUAAUAUUUUCACUCUUCACUGUGUUACAAAACUCUGUAGUUGGUUGUCAGACUCUUAUAUCAUUGGUGUUGAGUGACCUUUAGAAAUGUUUUCACGCAGGUGACAGCGUUAUGCACCAUACAGCUGCCCUGUCCUCAGACAUGUAACGUCAAUGGAGUGCUUAGGGGAAAAUGAAAAACGUUAGGGGUUACACCCUGGAAGCUCAUUCUUCCAGAGUUGGCUUUGGCAAAGUAGCUAAGUGAAGUUUCCUUCAACUGAGAGCUCUUGUUUGCUUUGACUGUUUCAGGUAACGGUAGGGGUGCUAGCAGGUCAGGCAAGAACCACGGGUCACAGCAAGCAGCUUGCAAAAUACCCUCUUCAGAUGGAGCCUGGGAGGAGUUUGCCACUGGAUUUUGUUUUAGAAAGAUAUCCCUUGGUUUUGUAAGAUAAAGUGAAACUAAAACAUAAACACCUGGCAGAGGUUAAGAAAGGACGGUAUGUCCAGUGGACAAGGGAUAUGGAUGGAAAAAGGAAAUUAAGGUGGAUGUAUAGAUUGAGACCCAAGUUUAUAAAUUGAUCAAUAGGAGUGGGGAAUACUGGAGAAGUAACAGAAUUAGGAUGUGAGAAUUCAGCAUCAUAUUUGAACAUGAUGUAUUUCAAGAGUUUCUCAUUUAGCAGCAUUCCGGACACCUUUGCUCAACUCCUGAAGACUUUUUGCAGAUGGUGAGGCUGUCUAAAAUGAGAUUAUUAAGUAAACAUGAAGAGCAUUUAUGUUCUGCUGUCUCCUCCUCGAAGACAGAAGGUACCUGGCUAAGGAGCCUGGAUUGUUGGGAACAUAAAGGGGAAGAGCAGCAAGCUGCUAAGUGACUCCUGGUGUUCAUCUGACCCUGUGCCAGGGACUCCCACCCAUCAGUUCCUGAUGUCAUGCAAUGGAGACAGUAAGAAGAAGUAAGGACUCUGCAAAACUGAGAACAGGAGAGGGGAGAGAAUGCAGCUCACCUGGACUGGUGCUUUGUGAGAGUUGCUUAGCAGAUGCAAACAUGCUGGCCACAGAUUCUAGAAACUAAACCAGAGACAAUUAGAAAUAGCCGAAGGAUCUGGGAGCCUGAGUAAUCACUGAAUUGCUCAUGGAAUGGAUGUAACAGCUUGACAGACUCUCCAAAACUUGGGAAAGAAAAACCACACAUAGUGGGAGUUAUUUAUUGUCAUAUGAUCAAAAUAACCAAAUACUGUCGGCAAGAUUUCCCCAGAGAAAUUCCAAGCCCAGCUCACCUGCACACUGCGACCUGGCCCACUUCCAGGAGGUUGCCUUGAAGAUUCCUUCCACAAGGGAUGGAAGAAGAGCCAGCCAGGAGAGCAGA